CUGCCUCCUCGAAGCGGCUCCUCAGCUCAUCGGUCCAAGCACGUGCUCGUUAAACAGUAGAGCGAUUUCUAAUUUUUUCUUUUCGGAGGAAUUAGUAACAUCCCCUACUGUUUAAUGUAAGAAAUCCCAUUCUGGCAAUUCAAAACAACAUAAUCUCAACAAUUGAAGGGAUGGAUUGCUGGCACUGUCUUCUAAACAGCGCAGCAAGUGAAGCGAAGAGAUGAGUUUGUUACCAGCUUUGGGAAUCUUCAAUCUGGACUCUGCCACGCUGUUACCUUGCAAGCAGAAAGGUGUCACGUGAAUCCCGGCGCUACAGAAGCGCUACGACAUCGGAUGACUUUCUCCUCUGUCUUUGAGCCUUGUGUAUGCGCAUACAGCCAACAGUAGACUCCAUCCACUUCUAGAAGCAUGGGUGUUUAAGAAGCUUGAAAACAGCAGCCUGAAAUGUGGAGUUCUAAUGCACUUGGAAAUGCUUUCAUGGCCUUUCCUGCUCCUCAGAAAUACUGCUUGAUUCAAUAGUAAGGCAGAGGAGUAGCUGUUUUGUGAAAACGCGUGAAUAAUCCUCGAAAGAAGUUCAGGGAGUUUUCAUCACUGAGGUCAAAUGGAAAUACAGGAUUUGGUGCUAUGCAUAACGCAGACUUGCCUAAGCAAAGAAGAAAACAAGACUUACGCUAAAAGACUUGAUAAACUCUUGCCAGGACUUUGAAGUCGUGCACGAAUUUCUGAAGGCCACCACUUCUGUCAAGGUAAACAAGAGCAAUUUCCCUCAUUUUCUGUAUUUCAUGAUGCAUCUUCCAAGAAGGAUCUUUGCACUCUUUAUCAAAAUGUUGGAAUAAACCGUGAAGAAAUGACAUUAGAACUGGCCAUGCUACUGUAAUAAUAAAGGUGUAUAUUAACAAAG
Long non-coding RNA from Aptenodytes forsteri (emperor penguin), 901 nucleotides. RefSeq lists it as uncharacterized. The record is from RefSeq and is a predicted model, not a curated record. The transcript has 7 exons. Lineage: Eukaryota; Metazoa; Chordata; Aves; Sphenisciformes; Spheniscidae.